AACGAACGCUGGCGGCAUGCCUAACACAUGCAAGUCGAACGACACCUUCGGGACUGGUGGCGCACGGGUGCGUAGCGCGUGGGAACCGGCCCUUAGGCUCGGAAUAACACCCCGAAAGGGGUGCUAAUACCGGAUAAUGUCCUCGGACCACAGAUACAUCGUGCGUGGAUGGGCCCGCGUUGUUCUAGCUUGUUGGGAGUGUAAAAGCCUAUCAAGGCGACGAUACAUAGCCGGUCUGAGAGGAUGAUCAGCCACACUGGGACUGAGACACGGCCCAGACUCUUACGGGAGGCAGCAGUGGGGAAUAUUGGAAAACGGGCGAAAGGCUGAUGCAGCUAGGGCGCGUGAGUGAUGAAGGCCUUAGGGUUGUAAAGCUCUUUUAUCCGGGAUGAUAAUGACAGUACCGGGAGAAUAAGCACCGGCUAACUCCGUG
Molecule: ribosomal RNA, 433 nt
Filed under: uncultured bacterium
Lineage: Bacteria
Description: partial 16S ribosomal RNA
Rfam family: Bacterial small subunit ribosomal RNA
Source: RNAcentral